UUGUUAUACAUGCAUACGUGAUAACUACUUUAUGAGAGAAGUAAAUUGUUGCUUACAGAAGAAAAAAAUUGCUAGGAAAUUUAAUCUAAUAUAGACAACUCAUAAUGGAGCUUUAUUGUGUUAAAAGUUUUGCUAGGUUGUCGUAGAUCAAACUUUUUCUUGGUGAAGAGACAUCCUUUAUUCCAGAAGAAUUACAAAGUCAUAUUCCUUUUCUUGUUGUGUUGGCCACCUAUUGUGGGCAGUUUUAUUUUAACGAUGCGUUGUUAUUUGGAUAACUUUUCCUUUUAUGAAGUGGUUUAUGUUAGAAGUCUAACUGUAUUAGAAGUCUAGUCUAAACUGUAUUAGGAGUAGGCUAGGU
This 358-nucleotide long non-coding RNA is filed under the name Nicotiana benthamiana. Its description in RNAcentral is "long non-coding RNA (NBEN_LNC033165)". Lineage: Eukaryota; Viridiplantae; Streptophyta; Magnoliopsida; Solanales; Solanaceae. The record is from RNAcentral.